GAGUGGCGAACGGGUGAGUAACACGUGGGUGAUCUGCCCUGUACUUUGGGAUAAGCCUGGGAAACUGGGUCUAAUACCGAAUAUGACCACUUCUUGGAUGGGGUGGUGGAAAGCUUUUGCGGUAUGGGAUGAGCUCGCGGCCUAUCAGCUUGUUGGUGGGGUAAUGGCCUACCAAGGCGUCGACGGGUAGCCGGCCUGAGAGGGUGUACGGCCACAUUGGGACUGAGAUACGGCCCAGACUCCUACGGGAGGCAGCAGUGGGGAAUAUUGCACAAUGGGCGCAAGCCUGAUGCAGCGACGCCGCGUGGGGGAUGACGGCCUUCGGGUUGUAAACUCCUUUCGCAACCGACGAAGCUUUUGUGACGGUAGGUUGAGAAGAAGCACCGGCUAACUACGUGCCAGCAGCCGCGGUAAUACGUAGGGUGCGAGCGUUGUCCGGAAUUACUGGGCGUAAAGAGCUCGUAGGUGGUUUGUCGCGUCGUUUGUGGAAUACCGCAGCUUAACUGCGGGGUUGCAGGCGAUACGGGCAUAACUUGAGUGCUGUAGGGGAGACUGGAAUUCCUGGUGUAGCGGUGGAAUGCGCAGAUAUCAG
This 592-nucleotide ribosomal RNA is filed under the name uncultured Actinomycetes bacterium. Its description in RNAcentral is "bacterial SSU rRNA". It matches the Rfam family "Bacterial small subunit ribosomal RNA", at positions 93 to 700 of the family's 1533-position model. The record is from RNAcentral. Lineage: Bacteria; Bacillati; Actinomycetota; Actinomycetes.